AGGACACUGAGGAAAAUCAUUUGUACUGACAAAUCUCCGUUUUGUGUCCACAUAAGCUUUUCAAACUUCAGUCAGGAUGAAGCAUGCUCAGUUUGCAGUAGUCCUUGUGACUAUAUUAUUUACUGCUUGUGUUACACCGGAGCCUGACUCAGGUGAAGAAGAAUGGAAAUCUCUAGGAAAUCCACAGAACAGAAAUCUGUUUUACAAAAUUCUCCAGUCCUACUUUAACGGAAGAGGCAUUAACUUGGUUGGCAUGGGGAGAAAAGACAAACUGCUCGGCAAUCUGGGAGGGAAAAUAAGCUCCAACUAUGACAGAUAUCGUCAGAAGCUGGAAGACAACGACAGCUUUUAUAUGUGAAGAUGUAACUUCAUCAAUUUCAAACAAUCACUCUGUUAUUUUUGUAACUAAGCUGCAAUUUCAAUUUUGAAAACCCUUUGUUGCAUACUUUCAGGCUUGUUAUUUGUAACUACUAAAAUAAAAAUGUGUUAAUGUUUGUUUGUUAAAAUGUGACUAAAAAUAUAUAGGCUUUUUUAGACUAAAUAAUUACUAUGGUAACCUUGAAUAUAAACAAAUGAUAUAGAGCCAUACUGAUAUAUAGUACCAAUGUGCAUUAUGUCAAAAAAUUAUACAGUUAUUUGAAAAAUAUUUUAAUGCCUAUAGAAAGACCCAGCUGGAUUUCAUUGAGUCCUUAGUUGCACAUUCUCUACAUCAUGUCAUAAGAGGGAAGUUGUUCCAAUCAAAUAAUGUGAUACUGUGGAGAGUUCUCUCAAGCAGUGUGGAGUAGUGGUUAGGGCUCUGGACUCUUGACCGGAGGGUUGUGGGUUCAAUCCCAGGUAGGAGACACUGCUGAUGUACCCUUGAGCAAGGUACUUUACCUAGAUUGCUCCAGUAAAAACCCAACUAUAUAAAUGGGUAAUUGUAUGUAAAAAAAUAAUGUGAUAUCUGCAUAAUGUGAAAUAAUGUGAUAUCUUGUAACAAUUGUAAGUUGCUCUGGAUAAGGCGUCUGCUAAAAAAUAAAUAAUAAUCAUAAUGCAAACAGUUUUCAACAAUUUCACAAGGUUAAGUUGGUACCUAUGCCAAUCGCUGUUCUCUGUCUACAUAUGUAUAUUUAUGUUAUCCUGUAUACUACCAUUCAUUCGUAGCAUUAGUCAGAAUGCAAAGUGUAAUUAUAAUAAUAAAA
Molecule: long non-coding RNA, 1181 nt
Organism: Acipenser ruthenus (sterlet)
Lineage: Eukaryota; Metazoa; Chordata; Actinopteri; Acipenseriformes; Acipenseridae
Exons: 3
Source: RefSeq, a predicted model, not a curated record